This 67-nucleotide transfer RNA is filed under the name Lichanura trivirgata (rosy boa). Its description in RNAcentral is "tRNA-Ser". It matches the Rfam family "tRNA". Rfam says of the family: Transfer RNA (tRNA) molecules are approximately 80 nucleotides in length. Their secondary structure includes four short double-helical elements and three loops (D, anti-codon, and T loops). The record is from RNAcentral. Lineage: Eukaryota; Metazoa; Chordata; Lepidosauria; Squamata; Ungaliophiidae.
GAGAAGAAAGCAUCAGUAUGCGGUUGACUUGAAAUCGACAGAUGGCAGUUAAAGUCUGCCUUUUCUC